Molecule: non-coding RNA, 167 nt
Organism: Desulfobulbus sp. Tol-SR
Lineage: Bacteria; Pseudomonadati; Thermodesulfobacteriota; Desulfobulbia; Desulfobulbales; Desulfobulbaceae
Source: Rfam
AGGAGCCGUGUGCGUGAAUAGCGCAAGCACGGUUCUGUGAGGGGCUUGCUUCAACAUAGAGAAUGCUGCUUGUCAUCGAUGGCACGUAGUAGCCGCGUGCGGCGAGGCGUUCUGAAAAGCCAAUUGGUGAAAGCGUUGUUCCUUGUGGAGAAGUCGGUCUACUCGAC